CACGAACGCUGGCGGCAGGCUUAACACAUGCAAGUCGAGCGCCCCGCAAGGGGAGCGGCAGACGGGUGAGUAACGCGUGGGAAUCUACCCAUCUCUACGGAAUAACGCAUGGAAACGUGUGCUAAUACCGUAUACGUCCUUCGGGAGAAAGAUUUAUCGGAGAUGGAUGAGCCCGCGUUGGAUUAGCUAGUUGGUGGGGUAAAGGCCUACCAAGGCGACGAUCCAUAGCUGGUCUGAGAGGAUGAUCAGCCACACUGGGACUGAGACACGGCCCAGACUCCUACGGGAGGCAGCAGUGGGGAAUAUUGGACAAUGGGCGCAAGCCUGAUCCAGCCAUGCCGCGUGAGUGAUGAAGGCCCUAGGGUUGUAAAGCUCUUUCACCGGUGAAGAUAAUGACGGUAACCGGAGAAGAAGCCCCGGCUAACUUCGUGCCAGCAGCCGCCGUAA
This 447-nucleotide ribosomal RNA is filed under the name uncultured bacterium. RNAcentral describes it as "partial 16S ribosomal RNA". It matches the Rfam family "Bacterial small subunit ribosomal RNA", at positions 29 to 523 of the family's 1533-position model. The record is from RNAcentral.